RNAcentral lists this ribosomal RNA (407 nucleotides) under uncultured bacterium. RNAcentral's name for it is "partial 16S ribosomal RNA". It matches the Rfam family "Bacterial small subunit ribosomal RNA", at positions 29 to 526 of the family's 1533-position model. The record is from RNAcentral.
AUUGAACGCUGGCGGCAGGCCUAACACAUGCAAGUCGAGCGGAGCGGCGGACGGGUGAGUAAUGCCUAGGAAUCUGCCUGGUAGUGGGGGAUAACGUCCGGAAACGGGCGCUAAUACCGCAUACUAUCAGAUGAGCCUAGGUCGGAUUAGCUAGUAGGUGGGGUAACGGCUCACCUAGGCGACGAUCCCUAGCUGGUCUGAGAGGAGGACCAGCCACACUGGAAAUGAGACACGUGCCAGACUCCGACGGGAGGCAGCAGUGGGGAAUAUUGCACAAGGGGCGCAAGCCUGAGGCAGCCAUGCCGCGGGUGUGAAGAGGGCCUUCGGGUUGUAAAGCACUUUCAGCGGGGAGGCGUUACCCGCAGAAGAAGCACCGGCUAACUCCGUGCCAGCAGCCGCGGUAAUAC